CCUACGGGAGGCAGCAGUGAGGAAUAUUGGUCAAUGGGCGAGAGCCUGAACCAGCCAAGUCGCGUGAAGGAUGACGGCCCUACGGGUUGUAAACUUCUUUUGUCAGGGAGCAAUUGGGUCCACGCGUGGGCUUAGCGAGAGUACCUGAAGAAAAAGCAUCGGCUAACUCCGUGCCAGCAGCCGCGGUAAUACGGAGGAUGCGAGCGUUAUCCGGAUUUAUUGGGUUUAAAGGGUGCGUAGGCGGAAUAUCAAGUCAGCGGUAAAAAUUCGGGGCUCAACCCCGUCGUGCCGUUGAAGCUGAUGUUCUGGAGUGGGCGAGAAGUAUGCGGAAGGCGUGGCGGAGCGGUGAAAUGCAUAGAUAUCACGCAGAAAUCCGAUUGCGAAGGCAGCAUACCGGCGCCCAACUGACGCUGAAGCACGAAAGCGUGGGUAUCGAACAGGAUUAGAUACCCCGGUAGUC
RNAcentral lists this ribosomal RNA (460 nucleotides) under uncultured bacterium. RNAcentral's name for it is "partial 16S ribosomal RNA". It matches the Rfam family "Bacterial small subunit ribosomal RNA", at positions 338 to 795 of the family's 1533-position model. The record is from RNAcentral.